UGGCGGACGGGUGAGUAACGCGUGAGAAUUUAGCUUCAGGUGGGGGACAACAGUUGGAAACGACUGCUAAUACCGAAUAUGCCGAGAGGUGAAAGAUUAAUUGCCUGGAGAAGAGCUCGCGUCUGAUUAGCUAGUUGGUGGGGUAAGAGCUUACCAAGGCGACGAUCGGUAGCUGGUCUGAGAGGACGAUCAGCCACACUGGGACUGAGACACGGCCCAGACUCCUACGGGAGGCAGCAGUGGGGAAUUUUCCGCAAUGGGCGAAAGCCUGACGGAGCAAUACCGCGUGAGGGAGGAAGGCUCUUGGGUUGUAAACCUCUUUUCUCAGGGAAGAACAAAAUGACGGUACCUGAGGAAUAAGCAUCGGCUAACUCCGUGCCAGCAGCCGCGGUAAUACGGAGGAUGCAAGCGUUAUCCGGAAUUAUUGGGCGUAAAGCGUCCGCAGGUGGCAAUUCAAGUCUGCUGUUAAAGGUUCUGGCUCAACCAGGAACAGGCAGUGGAAAC
Molecule: ribosomal RNA, 504 nt
Filed under: uncultured bacterium
Lineage: Bacteria
Description: bacterial SSU rRNA
Rfam family: Bacterial small subunit ribosomal RNA
Source: RNAcentral